AAUCCCCUCCACGCCACCUUUGAACACUCUCCUACACCCCUUCAAAUUUUUCCAGCAACAUAGCAAGUUUGAGAGGAAGAGAGCUGAGGUUUUAAGAGCUGAAUUCUCAAAGCAGCCGCAGCUUCAAGAGGGACGUCUUCGUACGUCGUCUAAGGCCAAGUUAAAGAAAUUUACGGAAAGGGAUUUAGCUUUUGAGGUUGAACGUAGACGAGAAGGCGAAGGUGUUGAGAACGAUCAUCCAAUAAGUAGUUAGAUAGCCCAAAGUAGUAUGUUUUCAUACAUACUACUUUGUCUUGGACUUUUUCCGCUGCAUUAGGAUUUUGUACUAGGAGUCUAUGAACCUAGACCGCACUCUGACUUUCUUUUGACUAUGUACCCAUUCGCCUUCAAAACUAUUUCCUCGAGUUGAAUUGUUUCUUGUAUGCUUAAUUUAUGAUUGAUGAGCUUAUAUUA
Long non-coding RNA from Salvia hispanica, 453 nucleotides. RefSeq lists it as uncharacterized. NCBI's taxonomy places the organism in Eukaryota, Viridiplantae, Streptophyta, Magnoliopsida, Lamiales, Lamiaceae. The record is from RefSeq and is a predicted model, not a curated record.